GAUGAACGCUGGCGGCGUGCCUAAUACAUGCAAGUCGAGCGGCAGCACGGUCUUCGGACUGGUGGCGAGCGGCGGACGGCUGAGUAACGCGUAGGAAUAUACCCCAAAGUGAGGGAUAACUGCCCGAAAGGGUGGCUAAUACCGCAUGUGGUCUUCGGACUAAAGCCUUCGGGCGCUUUGGGAAUAGCCUGCGUAAGAUUAGCUAGUUGGUGAGGUAAUGGCUCACCAAGGCGACGAUCUUUAGCUGGUCUGAGAGGAUGACCAGCCAGACUGGAACUGAGACACGGUCCAGACUCCUACGGGAGGCAGCAGUAGGGAAUUUUCCACAAUGGGCGAAAGCCUGAUGGAGCAACGCCGCGUGCAGGAUGAAGGCCCUCGGGUCGUAAACUGCUUUUAUGUGCGAAGAAUAUGACGGUAACACAUGAAUAAGGGUCGACUAACUAACGUGCCAGCAGCCGCGGUAAU
RNAcentral lists this ribosomal RNA (465 nucleotides) under uncultured bacterium. RNAcentral describes it as "bacterial SSU rRNA". It matches the Rfam family "Bacterial small subunit ribosomal RNA", at positions 28 to 524 of the family's 1533-position model. The record is from RNAcentral.